This 351-nucleotide ribosomal RNA is filed under the name uncultured soil bacterium. RNAcentral's name for it is "bacterial SSU rRNA". It matches the Rfam family "Bacterial small subunit ribosomal RNA", at positions 26 to 373 of the family's 1533-position model. The record is from RNAcentral.
AGAGUGAACGCUGGCGGUAGGCCUAACACAUGCAAGUCGAACGGCAGCACAGUGGUAGCAAUACCAUGGGUGGCGAGUGGCGGACGGGUGAGGAAUACAUCGGAAUCUACCUUUUCGUGGGGGAUAACGUAGGGAAACUUACGCUAAUACCGCAUACGCCCUUCGGGGGAAAGCCGGGGAUCGCAAGACCUGGCGCGGAUAGAUGAGCCGAUGUCGGAUUAGCUAGUUGGUGAGGUAAUGGCUCACCAAGGCGACGAUCCGUAGCUGGUCUGAGAGGAUGAUCAGCCACACUGGAACUGAGACACGGUCCAGACUCCUACGGGGAGCAGCAGUGGGGAAUAUUGGACAAGU